AGAGUUUGAUCCUGGCUCAGGACGAACGCUGGCGGCGCGCUUAACACAUGCAAGUCGAGCGAGAACCGGUCCUUCGGGACCGGGGACAGCGGCGAACGGGUGAGUAACACGUGAGUAAUCCACCCUCGGCACCGGGAUAGCCCGGGGAAACCCGGAUUAAUACCGGAUGGCCCAGCAGCUCUUAGGGGCGGCUGGAAAAGGUAGCUUCGGCCUCCGGCCGAGGACGAGCUCGCGGCGGAUUAGCUUGUUGGUGGGGUAAUGGCCUACCAAGGCGACGAUCCGUAGCUGGUCUGAGAGGACGAUCAGCCACACUGGGACUGAGACACGGCCCAGACUCCUACGGGAGGCAGCAGUGGGGAAUCUUGCGCAAUGGGCGAAAGCCUGACGCAGCGACGCCGCGUGAGGGAAGAAGGCUUUCGGGUUGUAAACCUCUUUCAGGAGGGACGAAGCCACUCGGGUUAAUAGCCCAGAGGGUGACGGUACCUCCAGAAGAAGCCCCGGCUAACUACGUGCCAGCAGCCGCGGUAAUACGUAGGGGGCAAGCGUUGUCCGGAUUUAUUGGGCGUAAAGAGCGUGUAGGCGGCCAGAUAGGUCCGUUGUGAAAACUCGAGGCUCAACCUCGAGACGCCGAUGGAAACCAUUUGGCUAGAGUCCGGAAGAGGAGAGUGGAAUUCCCGGUGUAGCGGUGAAAUGCGCAGAUAUCGGGAAGAACACCCGUGGCUAAGGCGGCUCUCUAGUACGGUACUGACGCUGAGACGCGAAAGCGUGGGGAGCGAACAGGAUUAGAUACCCUGGUAGUC
RNAcentral lists this ribosomal RNA (800 nucleotides) under uncultured bacterium. Its description in RNAcentral is "bacterial SSU rRNA". It matches the Rfam family "Bacterial small subunit ribosomal RNA", at positions 8 to 795 of the family's 1533-position model. The record is from RNAcentral.